AAAGCCUAAACUCGUUAGAGAUGUGAGCUUUGACUGGUCAGGCAUAGUACAUGGCUGUAAGGACCCAAUUAGGAAUUUAAAGGCACUGCUCAAAACAAGAAAGGUGGGUUGAUUUCAUUAGUAUUGGCAGGCAAGUCAUUGACAAGUUCACCACAGGAGGAACUCAUUUAGAUAAUAAAUCCUCACUGGUGUUUGCUAGGUUGGGUUUACUUCCUGUCCAAAAGAAAAACUACUUACUUUUUUCUUUCUUUUCUUCCCAAUAAUGAAGGUGGCUUUUGGAUUUUACACAAACAGACUGGAUUAUAGGUUUCACUGGAAAACUUUGGACAAACAAGCACACAAGUCCAGCACAGAUGUGUCGUUUUAACUUCAAAUGCUGGAUGUUUCAGUGCUGGAGGGAACAUCAGGAGUGCAAGGCAGGGAUGUAUUUGCUACAGCUGCUGAGAGCAGAACCCAUCAGAAGGCAAUGCUGAAUAAAUCCAGAAGAACACCGUGGCAUUAAUUGUGCACCGUGCUGAGCAUACCUACUGUGGCAGAAGGUGACUCCCACCCCAGUGAUGGAUGGAAUCCUGAACAAACUACAGCCUCCUCAUGUUUCACCAAUGUACAAUUGCUUAAAGCUGCAUGCUGUAGCCUAAUUCAAAUUACUUGAAUUUAAAUGGUAAACACAGAAUCAUACAAAACAAGUACAAAGCAAAGGAACCUACCACUGUCAUUUCUCUUUUGAAGUGCAUUAACACCUUUGGAGGAAAUAUCUUGAGACAUGGAGGAAAAACAGAAUCAUUUGCUUAUGAAAAAAAAAAAGGUGUUAGGUCUUUUUAAAAGUGACCAGCCUUUUUUUAAAAUUUUAAUUAUAUCUUAAUGCAUAAUAUAAAUGGGGGUAAUAUAUUAAUUAUUAAGGGCUCAGGUUUACAAGGAGUGUGAAACAGUAAUGUAAUCCUCCUGAAUAAUGUUGUCAGUGUUGGUCCCAUGCGUUUUAUACAUGUGCAAAAUUAGGUAGAAACCACCUUAACUGUUUUCCUUCUUAUUAAACAGUCUUCCAAAAAUCUAUAAUUCAGUGAGACAUUAAGCAGUUGGCAUUUGUUGCUAUACAAUCCAGUUCCACAAGUCCCACUGUGAAUUCAGCGGGGCAUUCGGCACUAGCCAGCUUCUGUUAUCAGUAACUCUACAUGAAAGAACUUGCAUUUUCCUGCUAAUGAAACAAACAGAAAAAUAAUAAAGUUGUUCAGUGUUUUAAAACCUUAGUUUGA
RNAcentral lists this long non-coding RNA (1250 nucleotides) under Cyanistes caeruleus (blue tit). Its description in RNAcentral is "lncRNA (ENSCCEG00000011787.1)". The record is from RNAcentral. Lineage: Eukaryota; Metazoa; Chordata; Aves; Passeriformes; Paridae.